GGUGAGUAACACGUGGGCAAUCUGCCCUGCACUCUGGGACAAGCCCUGGAAACGGGGUCUAAUACCGGAUACUGAGCCACUUGGGCAUCCAAGUGGUUCGAAAGCUCCGGCGGUGCAGGAUGAGCCCGCGGCCUAUCAGCUUGUUGGUGAGGUAAUGGCUCACCAAGGCGACGACGGGUAGCCGGCCUGAGAGGGCGACCGGCCACACUGGGACUGAGACACGGCCCAGACUCCUACGGGAGGCAGCAGUGGGGAAUAUUGCACAAUGGGCGAAAGCCUGAUGCAGCGACGCCGCGUGAGGGAUGACGGCCUUCGGGUUGUAAACCUCUUUCAGCAGGGAAGAAGCGAAAGUGACGGUACCUGCAGAAGAAGCGCCGGCUAACUACGUGCCAGCAGCCGCGGUAAUACGUAGGGCGCAAGCGUUGUCCGGAAUUAUUGGGCGUAAAGAGCUCGUAGGCGGCUUGUCACGUCGGUUGUGAAAGCCCGGGGCUUAACCCCGGGUCUGCAGUCGAUACGGGCAGGCUAGAGUUCGGUAGGGGAGAUCGGAAUUCCUGGUGUAGCGGUGAAAUGCGCAGAUAUCAGGAGGAACACCGGUGGCGAAGGCGGAUCUCUGGGCCGAUACUGACGCUGAGGAGCGAAAG
Molecule: ribosomal RNA, 641 nt
Filed under: Streptomyces sp. KLBMP 1032
Lineage: Bacteria; Bacillati; Actinomycetota; Actinomycetes; Kitasatosporales; Streptomycetaceae
Description: bacterial SSU rRNA
Rfam family: Bacterial small subunit ribosomal RNA
Source: RNAcentral